RNAcentral lists this ribosomal RNA (468 nucleotides) under uncultured bacterium. Its description in RNAcentral is "partial 16S ribosomal RNA". It matches the Rfam family "Bacterial small subunit ribosomal RNA", at positions 28 to 507 of the family's 1533-position model. The record is from RNAcentral.
GACGAACGCUGGCGGCGUGCUUAACACAUGCAAGUCGAACGGAAAGGCCCUGCUUUUGUGGGGUGCUCGAGUGGCGAACGGGUGAGUAACACGUGAGUAACCUGCCCUUAACUUUGGGAUAAUUUCAGGAAACUGGGGCUAAUACCGGAUAGGAGCUCCUGCUGCAUGGUGGGGGUUGGAAAGUUUCGGCGGUUGGGGAUGGACUCGCGGCUUAUCAGCUUGUUGGUGGGGUAGUGGCUUACCAAGGCUUUGACGGGUAGCCGGCCUGAGAGGGUGACCGGCCACAUUGGGACUGAGAUACGGCCCAGACUCCUACGGGAGGCAGCAGUGGGGAAUAUUGCACAAUGGGCGGAAGCCUGAUGCAGCAACGCCGCGUGCGGGAUGACGGCCUUCGGGUUGUAAACCGCUUUCGCCUGUGACGAAGCGUGAGUGACGGUAAUGGGUAAAGAAGCACCGGCUAACUACGUG